Molecule: ribosomal RNA, 786 nt
Filed under: bacterium enrichment culture clone BD42
Lineage: Bacteria
Description: bacterial SSU rRNA
Rfam family: Bacterial small subunit ribosomal RNA
Source: RNAcentral
AUGCAGUCGUACGGCAACACAGUUGCGAGCAAUCGCAACCGGUGGCGAGUGGCGCACGGGUGAGUAACGCGUAUGUAACCUACCCUUCUCCGGGACAUAACUCCGCGAAAGCGGUGCUAAUAUCCCAUACCAACUCAUCAAGACAUCUUCUUGAGUUGAAAGCAGCAAUGCGGUGAAGGAUGGGCAUGCGUCCCAUUAGCUGGUUGGUGAGGUAAUGGCCCACCAAGGCUACGAUGGGUAGGGGUUCUGAGAGGAAAGCCCCCCACACUGGUACUGAGACACGGACCAGACUCCUACGGGAGGCAGCAGUAAGGAAUAUUGGGCAAUGGUCGAAAGACUGACCCAGCCAUGCCGCGUGCAGGAUGAAGGCCCUAUGGGUUGUAAACUGCUUUUAGCCGGGAAUAAACACCCGUUUUAUAACGGGCCCGAAGGUACCGGCUGAAUAAGCAUCGGCUAACUCCGUGCCAGCAGCCGCGGUAAUACGGAGGAUGCAAGCGUUAUCCGGAUUCACUGGGUUUAAAGGGUGCGCAGGCGGACAUUUAAGUCAGGGGUGAAAUCCUACAGCUUAACUGUAGAACUGCCCUUGAUACUGAAUGCCUAGAGUAAAGCUGAAGUGGGCGGAAUGUGUUGUGUAGCGGUGAAAUGCUUAGAUAUAACACAGAACACCAAUCGCGAAGGCAGCUCACUAAACUUUAACUGACGCUCAUGCACGAAAGCGUGGGGAGCAAACAGGAUUAGAUACCCUGGUAGUCCACGCCCUAAACGAUGAUCACUCGCUGUUGGCGA